Molecule: ribosomal RNA, 1575 nt
Filed under: Triticum aestivum (bread wheat)
Lineage: Eukaryota; Viridiplantae; Streptophyta; Magnoliopsida; Poales; Poaceae
Description: partial small subunit ribosomal RNA
Source: RNAcentral
AUGGCUUCCCAGCUCUCCUCUGUUGCUGUGUCCAUGGGGAUCUGCUUAGUUUCAGUUUUAGCCAUAGCCUUCCUGGUAAUCACCCUCUACAUCCUUGGCGUUGUUGUGUCCUUCGCAGUCUUCUGCACCAGAGAGUUCGCCCAGAGAGCCCAAGACAGGCCACCGCUCAUUGGGACUGUGCUUCGUCAACUGAAGAACUUUGACAAGCUCUUUGAUGAACAAGUGUCAUAUGCGCUUCUGCAUCCCACCAGCAGGCUGGUCUAUCCCGGGCACAGUGAGAUCUUCACCUCUGACCCCGCUGUCAUCGAGCAUUUUCUGAAGACCAACUUCAGUAAAUACAGUAAGGGGGAUUUCAACACACGAGUCAUGAGGGACCUCUUUGGGAAUGGAAUUUUCGCAACUGAUGGGGAGAACUGGCGACACCAGAGGAAGCUAGCAAGUCACGAGUUCUCAACCAAAGUGCUACGUGACUUCAGCAGUGAUGUUUUCAGAAUUAAUGCUGCAAAACUGGCAGAGAAGAUCUCAUACGCAGCAGCUAACAGAAUUACCAUAAACAUGCAGGACCUUUUGAUGAGAACAACAAUGGAUUCCAUGUUCAAAGUGGGGCUUGGUUUUGAGCUUAACACACUAUCCGGAUCAGAUGAAUCUAGCAUUCGAUUCAGCAAGGCGUUCGAUGAAGCAAGCUCUCUUGUUUACUACCGAUAUGUUGAUAUGUUCUGGCAAGUAAAGCGCCAGCUUAAUAUCGGAUCAGAAGCCAAACUCAAAAAGAACAUACAGAUAAUCGAUGAUUUUGUGAUGCAGUUGAUCCACCAAAAGAGAGAGCAAAUGAAGAAUAGGCAUGAUCAAAAAGCUAGAGAAGACAUACUAUCAAGAUUCAUACUGGCAAGUGAGGAGGACCCAGUGACAAUGAACGAUCGCUACCUACGUGACAUAGUCCUCAGCUUCCUGAUUGCUGGGAAAGAUACCACAGCAAAUACCCUAUCAUGGUUCAUUUAUAUGCUCUGCAAGAACCCCAUAGUGCAGGAUAAGAUUGCCUAUGAAAUCAAGGAAUCUGUUGAAUUGGCGCAAGAAGAUAACAUUGAGACCUUCACUGCAAGGUUAAAACAAGGUGCCAUUGACAAGAUGCAGUACCUCCAUGCUACGUUAACUGAGACACUCCGGCUGUAUCCUGCUGUUCCAGUGGAUGGCAAGAUGGCAGAUGAAGAUGAUUUGCUACCCAAUGGUUAUAGAGUGAUAAAAGGAGAUGGAAUGAACUAUAUGAUAUAUGCCAUGGGGAGAAUGAAAUACCUUUGGGGUGAGGAUGCUGAAGAAUUCAGGCCUGAAAGAUGGCUAGUGGAUGGAAUCUUUCAGCAAGAGAGCCCUUACAAGUUUAUAUCUUUCAAUGCGGGUCCACGUAUAUGCUUGGGGAAAGAAUUUGCAUACAGGCAGAUGAAAAUCAUGGCUGCUACCCUCAUACAUUUCUUCAGGUUCAAACUGGAAGAUGAAUCCAAGAGUCCAGUAUACAAAACAAUGUUUACUCUCCAUAUGGAUCAAGGACUUCAUCUUUUUGUGUACCCCCGUAAUAUUUCAGCUUGA